Long non-coding RNA from Mauremys reevesii (Reeves's turtle), 855 nucleotides. RefSeq lists it as uncharacterized. Lineage: Eukaryota; Metazoa; Chordata; Testudines; Geoemydidae. The transcript has 3 exons. The record is from RefSeq and is a predicted model, not a curated record.
CUGAGAGUCACUGCUGACUGCGGAGUUGGGGUGCAAGGCACUCUGGCUUCCCCAGGAGCCCCGUCUGGGUGGACUUGCUGCAGCAAGCGCACGGCGUAGAAGGGGAUGCUGAAUGCUCCGAGGUCAGAUCCAGGAAGGUCGAAGCUGUCCACGGUGGCCCCUGUGGCACCAUGGGAGUGGCAGUGUCUCCUGUCUCCGUUGCCUGUCAGCCACUGCCAGGCCCGACUGGACUUCCCAUUUCCGAAGACUCCUCCAGGCCAGUGGAGCGGAGCAGGGCAGGACUCUCAGCCCCAGGAAGAGGAUCGGGAAGAAAUGGACCUGAGCAAUCUAGCCAUCCAACUUUCCAGAGGCAUGUAACCAGAGAGUCUCAGUCCUCACCUCUCUUCCUUACACAUCACUGGGCAAGAGUUCCUGGUCAUGGCAUGCUAGCCCUGCUCUCUACCUUGCUUCAGCGGAUGUGGUUAGGGGAGACCUCUGUGGGAUAAAGGCAAGGGGAAAGGACAAUAGAAUGCUAUGCGGUGUGAUAAGUUUGGAUGUGGGAGCAGCCUGGUGCCUCUUGCAUAUAGCCAUGACUGCCUUGGGGAGACGUAGGACCAGUCCUUCUGGAUUAGCAAUCACCGGAGCCCAAUACCCCCACCAGCUGAGCAGGCCUUGAGGGGCGUGAUGGGUUGGAGCACAGAAACACUCCUGGGAACUGCCACCUGCUGUGCCAAGACUACUCCAGACAGGUAGUCUUGUUGAGCCAGACAGGCCCGUCUGCUGCAACACUGACCCAGGGUCUGAACCACGUGCCCCAAAGCAGCAGAUUUCACCUGAAAGCAACUUACAGAAGUGUUUCUGUCUUUAACGCGCAGA